GACGAACGCUGGCGGCGUGCCUAAUACAUGCAAGUUGAGCGCUGAAGGUUGGUACUUGUACCAACUGGAUGAGCAGCGAACGGGUGAGUAACGCGUGGGGAAUCUGCCUUUGAGCGGGGGACAACAUUUGGAAACGAAUGCUAAUACCGCAUAAAAACUUUAAACACAAGUUUUAAGUUUGAAAGAUGCAAUUGCAUCACUCAAAGAUGAUCCCGCGUUGUAUUAGCUAGUUGGUGAGGUAAAGGCUCACCAAGGCGAUGAUACAUAGCCGACCUGAGAGGGUGAUCGGCCGCAUUGGGACUGAGACACGGCCCAAACUCCUACGGAAGGCAGCAGUAGGGAAUCUUCGGAGAUAGACGAAAGUCGGACCGAGAAACGCCGCGUGAGUGAAGAAGGUUUUCGGAUCGUAAAACUCUGUUGGUAGAGAAGAACGUUGGUGAGAGUGGAAAGCUCAUCAAGUGACGGUAACUACCCAGAAAGGGACGGCUAACUACGUG
RNAcentral lists this ribosomal RNA (497 nucleotides) under uncultured bacterium. RNAcentral's name for it is "partial 16S ribosomal RNA". It matches the Rfam family "Bacterial small subunit ribosomal RNA", at positions 28 to 507 of the family's 1533-position model. The record is from RNAcentral.